AGUGAACGCUGGCGGUAGGCCUAACACAUGCAAGUCGAACGGCAGCACAGUAAGAGCUUGCUCUUACGGGUGGCGAGUGGCGGACGGGUGAGGAAUACAUCGGAAUCUACUUUUUCGUGGGGGAUAACGUAGGGAAACUUACGCUAAUACCGCAUACGACCUACGGGUGAAAGCAGGGGAUCUUCGGACCUUGCGCGAUUGAAUGAGCCGAUGUCGGAUUAGCUAGUUGGCGGGGUAAAGGCCCACCAAGGCGACGAUCCGUAGCUGGUCUGAGAGGAUGAUCAGCCACACUGGAACUGAGACACGGUCCAGACUCCUACGGGAGGCAGCAGUGGGGAAUAUUGGACAAUGGGCGCAAGCCUGACCCAGCCAUACCGCGUGGGUGAAGAAGGUCUUCGGGUUGUAAAGCCCUGUUGUUGGGAAAGAAAAGCAGCAGGUUAAUACCCCGCUGUUCUGACGGUACCCAAAGAAUAAGCACCGGCUAACUUCGUG
This 492-nucleotide ribosomal RNA is filed under the name uncultured bacterium. RNAcentral's name for it is "partial 16S ribosomal RNA". It matches the Rfam family "Bacterial small subunit ribosomal RNA", at positions 29 to 507 of the family's 1533-position model. The record is from RNAcentral.